This 301-nucleotide ribosomal RNA is filed under the name uncultured bacterium. RNAcentral describes it as "partial 16S ribosomal RNA". It matches the Rfam family "Bacterial small subunit ribosomal RNA", at positions 509 to 809 of the family's 1533-position model. The record is from RNAcentral.
CAGCAGCCGCGGUAAUGCGAAGGGUGCAAGCGUUAAUCGGAAUUACUGGGCGUAAAGCGUGCGUAGGCGGUGAGUUAAGUCUGCUGUGAAAUCCCCGGGCUCAACCUGGGAAUGGCAGUGGAUACUGGCUCGCUAGAGUGUGUCAGAGGAUGGUGGAAUUCCCGGUGUAGCGGUGAAAUGCGUAGAGAUCGGGAGGAACAUCAGUGGCGAAGGCGGCCAUCUGGGACAACACUGACGCUGAGGCACGAAAGCGUGGGGAGCAAACAGGAUUAGAUACCCGCGUAGUCCCUGUCUCUUAUAA